AUACGUAGGUGGCAAGUGUUGUCCGGAAUUAUUGGGCGUAAAGCGCAUGUAGGCGGUUUGGUAAGUCGGUCGUGAAAAUGCGGGGCUUAACGCCGUAUGGCGAUCGAAACUGCUGAACCUGAGUGCAGGAGAGGAAAGGGGAAAUCCCAGGGUCGCGGGGAAAUGCGGAGAUAUUAGAAGGAAAACCAGUGGCGAAGGCGGCUUGCUGGGCUGUUACUGACGCUGAGACACGAAAGCGUGGGGAGAAAAUAGGAUUAGAUACCCUAGUAGUCCACGCCGUAAACGAUGAGUACUAAGUGUCGGGUAACCGGUGCUGAAGUUAACACAUUAAGUACUCCGCCUGAGUAGUACGGUCGCAGGGCUGAAACUCAAAUGAAUUGGCGGGG
This 386-nucleotide ribosomal RNA is filed under the name uncultured bacterium. RNAcentral's name for it is "partial 16S ribosomal RNA". It matches the Rfam family "Bacterial small subunit ribosomal RNA", at positions 523 to 918 of the family's 1533-position model. The record is from RNAcentral.